GACGAACGCUGGCGGCGUGCUUAACACAUGCAAGUCGAACGGUGAACCUCUUCGGAGGGGAUCAGUGGCGAACGGGUGAGUAACACGUGGGCAACCUGCCCCCGGCUCUGGGAUAACUCCAAGAAAUUGGGGCUAAUACCGGAUGUUCACCGCUUCCCGCAUGGGUGGUGGUGCAAAGGGUUUCCGGCUGGGGCUGGGCCCGCGGCCUAUCAGCUUGUUGGUGGGGUAGUGGCCUACCAAGGCGACGACGGGUAGCCGGCCUGAGAGGGUGACCGGCCACACUGGGACUGAGACACGGCCCAGACUCCUACGGGAGGCAGCAGUGGGGAAUAUUGCGCAAUGGGCGGAAGCCUGACGCAGCGACGCCGCGUGGGGGAUGACGGCCUUCGGGUUGUAAACCUCUUUCAGCAGGGACGAAGCGCAAGUGACGGUACCUGCAGAAGAAGCACCGGCCAACUACGUG
This 463-nucleotide ribosomal RNA is filed under the name uncultured bacterium. RNAcentral describes it as "partial 16S ribosomal RNA". It matches the Rfam family "Bacterial small subunit ribosomal RNA", at positions 28 to 507 of the family's 1533-position model. The record is from RNAcentral.